GUUGGUGCAAAAGUGAUUGUGGUUUUUGUCAUUACUUUUCAUUGCACAAACCACAGUUACAUUUGCAGCAACCUA
MicroRNA precursor from Macaca nemestrina (pig-tailed macaque), 75 nucleotides. Lineage: Eukaryota; Metazoa; Chordata; Mammalia; Primates; Cercopithecidae. The record is from Ensembl.